This 1803-nucleotide unclassified non-coding RNA is filed under the name Hevea brasiliensis (rubber tree). Lineage: Eukaryota; Viridiplantae; Streptophyta; Magnoliopsida; Malpighiales; Euphorbiaceae. The record is from RNAcentral.
AACUUGUGUUGGGGAUCUUAGGGUAGGUGCUGACUCGCCUAUACCUAUGGCCAUUAUUAAGAGUAUGGUUUUAAAUGCAAUUUGAUGGUUUUUAUCUGGAUAUUCAGAGUAUCUUCCCUUGUCAAGCGUUAUCUCCUAUUAAUUAUACAUUCAUUUCCACACACCAUAUAGGAGACAGUAGUUCAUAAAUAUGAUGUGACCUAGAUCAUGCAGAAUUGUUGAGUAGAUGACUGUCAUUCUGAAAACUGUCAUUCUGAAAGCAUGGAGAGGUAAUUUUUUAAAGUAAAUGAAAGGAAAAUAUUAUCAAUUGAAAGUCAAAGAAUAAUGGAAUAACAAAAACAAUUGUAAAAAUUUGAAAAAGGUAUUUCAACCAGAGAAAGGCCUACAGCUUUACAGUUUAGGAUGUGAUGUUAUGAGAAAUUCUUGCAUUGUGCAGGUGACAGAGCUUUUACAUCACUAUAUUGCUGACUUUAUAAUUGAUCUAUUGGGAUGCAACCCUCUCUAAUCCAAACUGCAACUUUUUUGUUUUUUUGGAGGGGGAAAGUAUGAAAAGAUUAGUUUCUGUGAACCCAUAAAAAGAAGAUCUUGAAAUCUUUGGAAAGCUUACUAGUUGAGGUAAAAAAAUGCUUUUGAAAUAUCCAAGAACUUCUUGAUGUAGGACAAGAAGAAUACAAAGGGCAUAGAAACAAAGUUUUGAAAAAAGAAGAGAAACAAAUUCUCAAAUUUUAUUAGUUCUCAAUAAUGGUAUCAUAAUCAUCUCUCCAAUGAAAUACCUAGAAGACAUAAGUAUUUAUAGUAUAACAUUAAUCCUAUCACUACCAUGAUUAGAAAUUUCAAAACAAGAAAAUACUAGAUCAAUAUCAAUUAGGAAUCCCAAAUCAACUUAUAAACUUCCUAAAUAACAGAAUCCUAAAGUUCCUAAUUUGACAAUGAAAAGUCAAAUUCAAAUAAUUCAUAAAUAUAUCCUUCCUAUACUGCAUUACUUAUCUUUUUAGCUUGGGUGAUCAUGCGAACCUAUUGAAUAUAAAAGACAUAAAAAUAAAGGUUCUAACAUCUAAAGAUAAAACGCUGGCAGUUGAUAAACUAUUCUGUUGUAUAAUUUGAAAAUAGUUCAGUUAUCCGGUACAUUUGGUUGAAGGAUUUAAUUUUCUCUUACAUUUGUAAGAUCAAAGUGAACUGCAUUUGUACAAUAACCUUUCAAAAUUAACCAAUAUGUGUCAGUUUGGCUUGUUAAUUCAGUUCACGUGAAUAAUCCUCAUCCCUAUGUUGGCAUAUUGAUGUUAGGGAUUUGAGUUUUGUGGGCUGGAGAGUAACAUCUUCAAGUAAAAAAGAGGGAACUAUGGCAGUAUGUGUUAUGGUUUACAAAAGUUUCACUUAUGGAAAAGCAAUUUCUCGAAGACUCAGAACCCCAUUCCUAGGCACUUUCACUAAUCAGCUUAUGCACUGAUAAUUAGGAAAGACCAAGCCAGCCACUAAAUCCUGUUUCUAUUACAUCCUAUUUUGUUUUUCAUUUUCAAUUCCUUGGUUGUAGGAGGGUGUACCUGUACCUCCACUCUUCCAUUUCUCUAAGUUUUAGGAGGUUGUUUGUCCUCCACUUAUGUUUAUGUGCAGUUGUUAUUGUUCAAUAUAGGACAAGCGGAAUUUCACACAAGUUGAGUACUUUCUUACUCAGAAUUGAGCUCAAGCUGUAACCAUAGGUAGAAAAAGCCAAGACCCUAGUAAACACUCACCCUUACCUCAACCACAGCCUAUCCCUUCCUCUUCUAGAGCCAUACUGCGAUCCUACGCCAAGGACCAUAACAG